UGCGGCUUAAUUUGACUCAACACGGGGAAGCUUACCCGGUCCGGACACUUUGACGAUUGACAGAUUGAGAGCUCUUUCUUGAUAAAGUGGUUGGUGGUGCAUGGCCGUUCUUAGUUCGUGGAGUGAUUUGUCUGGUUAAUUCCGAUAACGAACGAGACUCUAGCUUACUAAAUAGUCCGUGCGGCUGCGGCCGACACGGUGUUACUUCUUAGAAGGAUUUAUGGCGGUUCAGUCAUAAGAAAGAGAGCAAUAACAGGUCUGUGAUGCCCUUAGAUGUCCGGGGCCGCACGCGCGCUACACUGGAGCCCACAGUGAGCGUGCUACUUGCGUCGAAAGGCGUGAGGAAUCUCGUAAGCUUCUCCGUAUCUGGGAUUGCGGCAUGUAAUUGUGCCGCGUGAACGCGGAAUCCCGAGUAAGUGCCAAUCAUCAUUUCGCAUUGAUUACGUCCCUGCCCUUUGUACACACCGCCCGUCGCUACUACCGAUUGACUCGUCCAGUGAGGCAUCGGGACGGGCGCGGUGAGCUGUCUUCGGAUGGCGCGCCGUGCCUGAAACUUUGCCAAACUGUCCGAGUUAGAGGAAGUAAAAGUCGUAACAAGUUUCCGUAGGUGAACCUGCGGAAGGAUCAAGCC
This 631-nucleotide ribosomal RNA is filed under the name uncultured eukaryote. RNAcentral describes it as "bacterial SSU rRNA". It matches the Rfam family "Eukaryotic small subunit ribosomal RNA", at positions 1184 to 1831 of the family's 1831-position model. The record is from RNAcentral.